This 328-nucleotide unclassified non-coding RNA is filed under the name soil metagenome. RNAcentral describes it as "partial contains 5.8S ribosomal RNA, internal transcribed spacer 2, and large subunit ribosomal RNA". The stretch from base 1 to 120 matches the Rfam family "5.8S ribosomal RNA", at positions 35 to 154 of the family's 154-position model. The record is from RNAcentral.
GAUGAAGAACGUAGUGAAAUGCGAUAAGUAAUGUGAAUUGCAGAAUUCAGUGAAUCAUCGAAUCUUUGAACGCACAUUGCGCCCCCUGGUAUUCCGAGGGGCAUGCCUGUUCGAGCGUCAUUAUAACCCCUCAAGCUCAGCUUGGUGUUGGGGCCUGCCGCACGGGCAGCCCUUAAAAUCAGUGGCGGUGCCAUCUGGCUCUAAGCGUAGUAAUUCUUCUCGCUAUAGAGUCCCGGUGGAUGCUUGCCAUUAACCCCCAAUUUUCUAUGGUUGACCUCGGAUCAGGUAGGGAUACCCGCUGAACUUAAGCAUAUCAAUAAGCGGAGGA